Ruditapes philippinarum (Manila clam) is the source of this 368-nucleotide long non-coding RNA. RefSeq lists it as uncharacterized. NCBI's taxonomy places the organism in Eukaryota, Metazoa, Mollusca, Bivalvia, Venerida, Veneridae. The record is from RefSeq and is a predicted model, not a curated record. The transcript has 3 exons.
CAAUAAGAUUACAUUUGAUUGUCAGCUGGGAUCCACUCGACGAAGAUGGGAAAGACGGUGACUUUGAAGUAUGGACCAUUCAUGAAGAGAUGAGACGUAACUUUAUACUCAGACAAGCAUUUGACCCCUCUUAUCAAAGAGUUGGAGUCUGCUGGGUUUGAUGUAGUGGCUGACAAGAUCGCAAGAAAAGAUCAUUGUGAACUUGUCAUUGAUAAACAGGUUGUAUGGACUUGCAGCAUAAAUCUGUUUCAAGCAGUAAUGAGGAAAAGGAACGACCCAAUGAUUCAAGCAGCUGUAAAGGCAUGUAGAUCUGCAUCAGGAAAUGCAAAAGCUUAACAUUGUGUCAUUUAAUAACAGCGACAAGAGGA